Gorilla gorilla gorilla (western lowland gorilla) is the source of this 62-nucleotide microRNA precursor. NCBI's taxonomy places the organism in Eukaryota, Metazoa, Chordata, Mammalia, Primates, Hominidae. The record is from Ensembl.
GUGAGUAGUGGCGCGCGGCGGCUCGGAGUACCUCUGCCGCCGCGCGCAUCGGCUCAGCAUGC